This 67-nucleotide transfer RNA is filed under the name Psilochorema bidens. Its description in RNAcentral is "tRNA-Asp". Lineage: Eukaryota; Metazoa; Arthropoda; Insecta; Trichoptera; Hydrobiosidae. The record is from RNAcentral.
AAAGAAUUAGUUAAAAAUUAACAUAAAUAUGUCAAAUUUAAAUUAUUAGAUAAUCUAAUAUUCUUUU